UUUGAAAAAGGCAAACCAAUCGUGAGAUUGGGACGCAAAGCUAUGGGUCUUCAAUGAAGAAUGCCAGGCUGCCAUAU
Regulatory RNA element from Candidatus Brocadia sinica JPN1, 77 nucleotides. It matches the Rfam family "c-di-GMP-I-GGC riboswitch aptamer". NCBI's taxonomy places the organism in Bacteria, Pseudomonadati, Planctomycetota, Candidatus Brocadiia, Candidatus Brocadiales, Candidatus Brocadiaceae. The record is from Rfam.